RNAcentral lists this transfer RNA (65 nucleotides) under Carcinochelis bannaensis. Its description in RNAcentral is "tRNA-Tyr". Lineage: Eukaryota; Metazoa; Arthropoda; Insecta; Hemiptera; Phymatidae. The record is from RNAcentral.
GAUAAGGUGGCUGAAGUUUUAGGCAGUAAAUUGUAAAUUUAUUUAUGGUUCUUGACCCUUUAUCA